AAUAAGGUAGUUUUCGUUUUUCCGUAUCAAACGUUUGAUUAUUUAUUUUAUUUAAAAAAAUUUGUGAUUAAUAUUUUUGUUUUUAUCAGAUGAUAAAUCAUGAAUAGUACUUUAUGCGUGACUAAUUUUUUAAGUAUUUAUAUAAAUUUUUUAAAUAAGACGAAUGGUUAAACGUUGGCCACGAAAAAACA
RNAcentral lists this microRNA precursor (191 nucleotides) under Oryza brachyantha (malo sina). RNAcentral's name for it is "MIR812 microRNA precursor family". It matches the Rfam family "MIR812 microRNA precursor family". The record is from Rfam by way of RNAcentral. Lineage: Eukaryota; Viridiplantae; Streptophyta; Magnoliopsida; Poales; Poaceae.